RNAcentral lists this ribosomal RNA (488 nucleotides) under uncultured bacterium. Its description in RNAcentral is "bacterial SSU rRNA". It matches the Rfam family "Bacterial small subunit ribosomal RNA", at positions 29 to 526 of the family's 1533-position model. The record is from RNAcentral.
AUGAACGCUGGCGGCGUGCUUAACACAUGCAAGUCGAACGGAGUUUAGAUGAAAGCUUGCUUUUGACUAAACUUAGUGGCGGACGGGUGAGUAACGCGUGGGUAACCUGCCUUAUACAGGGGGAUAACAGUCGGAAACGACUGCUAAUACCGCAUAAGCGCACGGAAUCGCAUGAUUCAGUGUGAAAAGAUUUAUCGGUAUAAGAUGGACCCGCGUCUGAUUAGCUAGUUGGUGAGGUAACGGCCCACCAAGGCGACGAUCAGUAGCCGGCCUGAGAGGGUGAACGGCCACAUUGGGACUGAGACACGGCCCAAACUCCUACGGGAGGCAGCAGUGGGGAAUAUUGCACAAUGGGGGAAACCCUGAUGCAGCGACGCCGCGUGAGUGAAGAAGUAUUUCGGUAUGUAAAGCUCUAUCAGCAGGGAAGAAAAUGACGGUACCUGACUAAGAAGCCCCGGCUAACUACGUGCCAGCCGCCGCCGUAACAC